GUAGUCUCGCACAGAUGCAUAUCAAUAAGCGGAGGAAAAGAAACUAACAAGGAUUCCCCUAGUAACGGCGAGUGAAGCGGGAAGAGCUCAAAUUUGAAAUCUUAAAGGGUUUCCCUUUACGAAUUGUAGUUUAAAGAAGUGUUUUCUGUUGAGGUUUUGGUAAAAGUUCUUUGGAAUAGGACAUCAUAGAGGGUGAGAAUCCCGUAUUUGACCUUUACUUUCAACUUUGUGAUACACUUUCAAAGAGUCGGAUUGUUUGGGAAUGCAGUCCAAAAUGGGUGGUAAAUUUCAUCUAAAGCUAAAUAUUGGCGAGAGACCGAUAGCGAACAAGUACCGUGAGGGAAAGAUGAAAAGGAACUUUGAAAAGAGAGUUAAACAGUACGUGAAAUUGUCAAAAGGGAAGCGUUUGACACCAGUGUUGUUUUUCUGAAAAUCAAUUAAAGAACUGUUUAUGCUAAGCUGUUUAGACUUUAUCAGCUAUCUGUUUAGUUUUGAGCUUUUCUUUAAUGCACUUUUCAGUUAACAAGUCAACAUCAAUUUCUUUUGCUGUAAAAAAGCUUGAGGAAGGUGGCUUGAGAUUCGUCUUAAGUGUUUAUAGCCUCUUGCCUAUGCAGUCGGAGAGAUUGAGGUCUGCAGCGUAGAUCCUUCGGGGCUAAAUGCAUUUGUGCUAAGUUAUAGCAUUUUAUAGACAACUUGUUGACUAUGAUUUGUCUUGUAGCUUACUCGCUUAUGUUAUUUUACCUACGCUUAGGAUGUUGACAGCAGUAUAGACUGU
Molecule: ribosomal RNA, 775 nt
Filed under: uncultured Neocallimastigales
Lineage: Eukaryota; Fungi; Neocallimastigomycota; Neocallimastigomycetes; Neocallimastigales
Description: partial large subunit ribosomal RNA
Rfam family: Eukaryotic large subunit ribosomal RNA
Source: RNAcentral